RNAcentral lists this ribosomal RNA (557 nucleotides) under uncultured bacterium. RNAcentral describes it as "partial 16S ribosomal RNA". It matches the Rfam family "Bacterial small subunit ribosomal RNA", at positions 355 to 906 of the family's 1533-position model. The record is from RNAcentral.
UGGGGAAUUUUGGACAAUGGGCGAAAGCCUGAUCCAGCAAUGCCGCGUGUGUGAAGAAGGCCUUCGGGUUGUAAAGCACUUUUGUCCGGAAAGAAAUCCUUGGCUCUAAUACAGUCGGGGGAUGACGGUACCGGAAGAAUAAGCACCGGCUAACUACGUGCCAGCAGCCGCGGUAAUACGUAGGGUGCAAGCGUUAAUCGGAAUUACUGGGCGUAAGCGUGCGCAGGCGGUUUGCUAAGACCGAUGUGAAAUCCCCGGGCUCAACCUGGGAACUGCAUUGGUGACUGGCAGGCUAGAGUAUGGCAGAGGGGGGUAGAAUUCCACGUGUAGCAGUGAAAUGCGUAGAGAUGUGGAGGAAUACCGAUGGCGAAGGCAGCCCCCUGGGCCAAUACUGACGCUCAUGCACGAAAGCGUGGGGAGCAAACAGGAUUAGAUACCCUGGUAGUCCACGCCCUAAACGAUGUCAACUAGUUGUUGGGGACUUCAUUUCCUUAGUAACGUAGCUAACGCGUGAAGUUGACCGCCUGGGGAGUACGGUCGCAAGAUUAAACUCAAUG